CAUGACACGUUUUCCAUUUAAUAUGUUAAACAUUGACGGUGAUUCUUGAAGCUCUAUCUUUGAAACCGUUAACACUCGACUGAA
This is a long non-coding RNA of Sphaeramia orbicularis (orbiculate cardinalfish), 84 nucleotides long. RefSeq lists it as uncharacterized. The transcript has 4 exons. Lineage: Eukaryota; Metazoa; Chordata; Actinopteri; Kurtiformes; Apogonidae. The record is from RefSeq and is a predicted model, not a curated record.